Molecule: ribosomal RNA, 484 nt
Filed under: uncultured bacterium
Lineage: Bacteria
Description: partial 16S ribosomal RNA
Rfam family: Bacterial small subunit ribosomal RNA
Source: RNAcentral
AUUGAACGCUGGCGGCAGGCCUAACACAUGCAAGUCGAGCGGAUGAAGGGAGCUUGCUCCUGGAUUCAGCGGCGGACGGGUGAGUAAUGCCUAGGAAUCUGCCUGGUAGUGGGGGAUAACGUCCGGAAACGGGCGCUAAUACCGCAUACGUCCUGAGGGAGAAAGUGGGGGAUCUUCGGACCUCACGCUAUCAGAUGAGCCUAGGUCGGAUUAGCUAGUUGGUGGGGUAAAGGCCUACCAAGGCGACGAUCCGUAACUGGUCUGAGAGGAUGAUCAGUCACACUGGAACUGAGACACGGUCCAGACUCCUACGGGAGGCAGCAGUGGGGAAUCUUGGACAAUGGGCGAAAGCCUGAUCCAGCCAUGCCGCGUGUGUGAAGAAGGUCUUCGGAUUGUAAAGCACUUUUAGUUGGGAGGAAGGGCAGUAAGUUAAUACCUUGCUGUUUUGACGUUACCAACAGAAUAAGCACCGGCUAACUUCGUG